GGGGAUGUAAAGGUUUCGACGGGGACCACAAGCCCUGGUAAGCGAGCAGCGGUGCGGAACCGCUAUAAAAUCCGCAAAUUUAAAAUUAAACAACAACAAUAAAGUUGCUUACGCAGCUGCUUAAUUAGCAGCUGCCGUUCUUGCCGGAAGUACCGCGGUCCGGAUAAGAGCGUCGAUUAGCGGUGCACGUGAACCGGAGAGUGCCUUGUAUCCGGUCAUGAAUUUAAGGCUACCGACUUACAGAGCCUGCUGCAGGGCGCUGUGAAGAGGGAAACUUAAUACAGCAGCUACGCUCGUAGAAAGCCACGGUAAAUGAUUCUCGGACAGGGGUUCGAUUCCCCUCAUCUCCACCA
This 353-nucleotide transfer-messenger RNA is filed under the name Acutalibacteraceae. RNAcentral's name for it is "Scatavimonas sp900540865 Standard tmRNA". It matches the Rfam family "transfer-messenger RNA". From Rfam's summary of the family: Bacterial tmRNA, also known as 10Sa RNA or SsrA, is named for its dual tRNA and mRNA-like properties. Its role is to liberate the mRNA from a stalled ribosome. Lineage: Bacteria; Bacillati; Bacillota; Clostridia; Eubacteriales. The record is from RNAcentral. RNAcentral also lists the same sequence under 1 other name.